RNAcentral lists this non-coding RNA (102 nucleotides) under Candidatus Komeiliibacteriota. RNAcentral's name for it is "Candidatus Komeilibacteria SAM-I sequence". It matches the Rfam family "SAM riboswitch aptamer (S box leader)". Rfam says of the family: The SAM riboswitch is found upstream of a number of genes which code for proteins involved in methionine or cysteine biosynthesis in Gram-positive bacteria. The SAM riboswitch acts at the level of transcription termination control. The predicted structure consists of a complex stem-loop region followed by a single stem loop terminator region. The record is from RNAcentral.
AGUUUAUCAAGAGAGUGGGGAGAGAAUUGGCUCUAUGAUCCAUCGGCAACCGUCUAUUUAGAAAGGUGCUAAAUCCAACCCGAUGAUAGGGAAAGAUGAUAA